Molecule: RNA transcript, 1860 nt
Organism: Populus euphratica (Euphrates poplar)
Lineage: Eukaryota; Viridiplantae; Streptophyta; Magnoliopsida; Malpighiales; Salicaceae
Exons: 3
Source: RefSeq, a predicted model, not a curated record
UGCAGAUUCUCAUUAGGGCCCACAGAUCUGAUCAUCACAAGCCAAACACAUCCUUGCUUAUCUCCCACCCAUCACACGCAAGCAAUAGAUCAUCUCUACUUGUUGCCACUUGGCUUGCUGGUCAGUAACUCAGUCAACGACUUUAACUUCAGCAGCAAAGUGCGACCAAGAACACACAAAGGCAUAGGAGCAGCUAGGCAGGAUCAUGGGUUUCACCAUGGGCUUGAACUUAGUACUUGUCCUAGCCAUGGUGGCCACCAACAUCCUUUCCCUCUACCAUCUUUCCUCCACCGUUCAAUCUCCCAAGCCCCCAUCUCAACAACCAGUACCUGACCACCUUCUCCACCAACUCAACACCAUACGCACCACCAUCAGCCACCUCACGCGCCACCAGCCACCUUCCACUACCCCAUCUCCCACCACUACCAAACCCUCCAUCCCUCAAGAUCUCCUCCUUUAUUCACACCUCUCACCUAUAGCUUCUUCUUGCCAUAACCACCCUGAUCUUCUACACAAGUACAUGGCCUACACUCCUUAUUCUCUUUGCCCUCUUGACUCUGAUCUUCUCGGUGAGUCCUUAAUCCUCCAUGGCUGCCACCCUCUCCCUCGCCGUCGAUGCUUCUCCAAAACCCCACCAAAACCACCGUCUUCUCUACCUCAUAACCCUUUCCCUUCUUCUUUUCUCGACUCCAAUGUCAUAUGGAACAAGUAUCCUACUUGCAGGUCAUUUUCUUGCCUAGCUAAGCAAAACCCAAGUCUUGGUUUUGAUCUAAAUAAUGAGAUCUCCAAGUUCAUGACCUAUAAGACUGAGUUGGAUCUCCCAAUCCCGCAGUUGCUACAAGUAGCAAAAUCAGCCAAUUCUGUUAUUAGACUUGGUAUUGAUAUUGGUGGUGCUACUGGUACUUUUGCAGCUAGAAUGAAGCAGUACAAUGUGACUGUUGUCACUACAACAAUGAAUUUCAAUGUGCCCAAUAAUGAAGUGGUGGCAAUGAGAGGCUUAGUGCCACUUCAUGUGCCAUUGCAGCACAGGUUGCCAGUUUUUGAUGGAGUGGUGGAUCUGGUCAGAUGUGGACGCGCAGUGAAUAGGUGGAUGCCUUUGACAAUAAUGGAGUUUUUGUUCUACGAUGUUGAUAGAGUGUUGAGGGGUGGUGGCUACUUGUGGUUUGAUCACUUCUUUAGCAAACGAGUAGAUCUUGAUAAGGUUUUUGGACCUUUGAUUGGGAAGUUGGGUUACAAGAAAGUAAAGUGGGCAGUCGGGAAUAAAACUGAUUCUAGUAGCUUGAAGAAUGGGGAGGUUUACUUGACUGCACUCUUGCAAAAGCCUGGGUAGAAAUGUGGAGCAGAUUUAUCACUAGAGGAAUGAUAGUCAUAAUAGCCGAGUUCGCUGCAACUACAUUUCUCUGGUUCUUACCAUGCAAUACCUUCUUCAGAAUUAAGGGCUUGCACUUGAGAAUGAAUUCAUUAGAGCCAUCUUGCAUGGCAAAUGUACAACCAGGAACAAAAAGCAUAUCAUGAGGGUGUGCCUAAAUAAAGGAAGUAUCCACUGUGCACUUCUGCUAAUUCUGGUGCCAUGUUUCACGUUCUUCAAGAGUGGCGUAAAUGCUGAAUCGAUUUCUUAACAAACAUGCAGAGCAUAAAUUGUUCCGUCCAGUCAUUUCUUAACAAACACAUCGCCACUAGUUUGCUUAAUCGAUUUGCCAUUCAUACUUUGUUCGUCAACGUUCUUGGCGACAGAUUACUGUUUCAUUAACCAUUUGCUAAUUCAAAUGGAUUGGGAGUUAUUUAGUAACUGUUUAGUGGUUGGAACUGUUGACUGUACUGUCUGGAUUAUGAGAAAAUGGUUUGCCUGUUCAGACUUCA